UAAACGCUGGCGGCGUGCCUUAUGCAUGCAAGUCGAACGGUCUUAUUUCGAUAAGAUAGUGGCGAACGGGUGAGUAACGCGUAGGUGACCUACCUUAAGGCGGGGGACAACUCCGGGAAAUCGGGGCUAAUACCGCGUAAGCUCUCGAGUCAAAUUGAGAGUGAAAGUCUUUCGGGACGCCUUUUGAGGGGCCUGCGUUCGAUUAGCUUGUUGGUGGGGUAAAGGCCUACCAAGGCUGAGAUCGAUAGCUGGUCUGAGAGGAUGAUCAGCCACACUGGGACUGAGAUACGGCCCAGACUCCUACGGGAGGCAGCAGCAAGGAAUCUUGCACAAUGGGGGAAACCCUGAUGCAGCAACGCCGCGUGAGUGAUGAAGGCUUUCGGGUUGUAAAGCUCUUUUAUUGGGGACGAGAAAAAGGACGGUACCCAAUGAAUAAGCCACGGCUAACUAC
RNAcentral lists this ribosomal RNA (451 nucleotides) under uncultured bacterium. RNAcentral describes it as "bacterial SSU rRNA". It matches the Rfam family "Bacterial small subunit ribosomal RNA", at positions 30 to 504 of the family's 1533-position model. The record is from RNAcentral.